UUUUGAUAUUUUACUAAUUGGUGGUUCUCUUUCAGGUGAGACGAUACCUCUGUGCGAGCUCCAAUACUCCUCACGUCCUCACAAAUACUACUUUGUGCGACAACAGCUCUUACACAAGCUGCAAUGCUAUCUACGCCUUGACUUAUACAUUGCGAGUAGUUAGUUCUGUGCGAGCUGCAAUGUGAUAAACGCCCUCACAAACUUUACUUG
Melitaea cinxia (Glanville fritillary) is the source of this 210-nucleotide long non-coding RNA. RefSeq lists it as uncharacterized. The record is from RefSeq and is a predicted model, not a curated record. NCBI's taxonomy places the organism in Eukaryota, Metazoa, Arthropoda, Insecta, Lepidoptera, Nymphalidae. The transcript is spliced from 3 exons.